UACGUAGGUGGCGAGCGUUGUCCGGAUUUACUGGGCGUAAAGGGAGCGUAGGCGGACUUUUAAGUGAGAUGUGAAAUACUCGGGCUCAACUUGAGUGCUGCAUUUCAAACUGGAAGUCUUGAGUGCAGGAGAGGAGAAUGGAAUUCCUAGUGUAGCGGUGAAAUGCGUAGAGAUUAGGAAGAACACCAGUGGCGAAGGCGAUUCUCUGGACUGUAACUGACGCUGAGGCUCGAAAGCGUGGGGAGCAAACAGG
RNAcentral lists this ribosomal RNA (253 nucleotides) under uncultured bacterium. RNAcentral describes it as "partial 16S ribosomal RNA". It matches the Rfam family "Bacterial small subunit ribosomal RNA", at positions 524 to 776 of the family's 1533-position model. The record is from RNAcentral.